UUUUAAUUAUUGUAUUGUAGCAUGGGGGUAAGGAUCAAAGCGCCCGAGUGGACAAUUCGGAAACCGGACCUGGACUAGGGAGAAAUUUUAGAACAGCCAACAAAUCAAUAAUGUUUGAGGCAGUUAAACAUCUCUAGCCAUUGGUAUUUACAUACUCGCUUGUUGUCAGAUAAGGAGCUGGGGAAAUUGCUUGCCAGGGUUGAGAUCAUAAUCCAGAGUGAAGAAAGUAAAUGAUAGCACGCACCCCGCCGCGGCGGGCUCUAAAAUAAUACUGUACCUUUCCCAAAUGCUGACUCUUGGGUGAGAGUGGGUUGGUGGAGGUCAGCGCACAUUUGUUCUCGGUUUUGCCCCCCUCUGAUCACAAAAUUGUAUAUCCUCCCCCAGCUUCACAACUUGAUCCUUGUUCUAACAGUUGUCACCUGCUUCAAAAUAUUAGGGGCGGGGGUAUAACUCAGAAUCUCACUAAAAAUUAUCUGGACCCAUUUAGCCAGCACCCCUCUUCUUAUUCUGAUGGGGAGGGGGGGGACUGUCUAAUUCCGUGUGUCCUCCCACAUUAUUACAUUAGAUAACUAAAAAGACGGAAGAAACGGCUGUGGGAAAUGAUCCAGUGCCCUGGCUUAUCGGAGGUUAUUAUCUUUAGACAUAGCUUAGAAUUUUGGAAAAGGAAAAAGAAUGUAGUCUUCCGGGGAAAACAAAAAUUUGAGAUAUUCUAGAACAGUGAGUCUCACUGGGGAUUACUAGAAGAUCCACCGGAGUUGUUUACGUAUAAGUGUAACAUCCUUGAAAUUCACAGAUACAUAAGGUCAGUGUCUCCCCACCCCCAGGCUCCCAGCCCAGGCGAUCUGGCCCUUAAGGAGCUGGUACCUUUGAUGCUACAAUCUUGUUUACAUCUGCAGGGCAGGGAAUUGCUUGCUUUGCUUGGACGCUCCCUCCACCCCCUUCUAAUUUGAAGUAAUCGGAAUCUAAAUACAAUCGCCACGGCCCCACUCUUCCAUUUCUGCUCUGACGAGGGAAAAACCUGAAAUCCAUGUCUUAAGUCAGCUCGGUGGAGCCAUUAGCAUUUCCCACCAGCUGCUCACUUCAGCUGCACUGGCGCUGGGCGAGGCGAAGACCCAAAAGCUCAGCGCGAGGUCUGAGGCGGCCCGGACUGGGGUUAACCAGCCCCUGGCGGACGAGACUCCAGACAGAAGGUGGGGUGAGGGGAACAUGAGCUUCCAGGACCCCCCUCAUCCCAGCCCGGGUUUGCAAACCUCCGAAUCUUGAAAGGGGGAGGGGGUUGCACGCCCUUAUCUGCGCGUCUCUCCAGCGCCUGCCCCUUUUCUCUUUCCCUCGUCUCUCCGCAAGUCUCUGAAUCUUCCUGUCUCUGAUUUUUUCACUCUUUUCCCACUUUUCCAUGAGAUUCCUCAUCUUCGCCACCAGACGAAAGGAGGUCGUUCUGCUAGGAGCGUCUCUUAA
This 1455-nucleotide long non-coding RNA is filed under the name Vulpes vulpes (red fox). RNAcentral describes it as "lncRNA (ENSVVUG00000001973.1)". Lineage: Eukaryota; Metazoa; Chordata; Mammalia; Carnivora; Canidae. The record is from RNAcentral.